UCAAGCAAUUCUCCUCCCUUGGCCUCCCAAAGUGCUGGGAUUACAGGUGUGAGCCACUGUGCCUGGCCUGAAGUCACAUUUGUAGCCUCUGCAGGUCACUGAAUCAUUGGAUGCUAGAUGUGAGAUCUCACAGAUCAUCUGGUCAAUGGAGAACUUCAGCCAUGGUUGAUUCUUAAAAACUGAUAGCCAAUGUCCAGAGAUAUAAUGAGAUUAUAUAAAUAUUUAUUCAAUGAAGAACCAUUUACUGUGACUGCCUAACUACAGGAGGAAAUGAGAUCCUACACUCAUAAACCCAGAUUUCCUGGAGAAGAAUUUUUGAAUCUUCUGACUGGAGGAUGCAAGCCUGGCUGUCAGCCUUCUGAAAACCAAGAAGAGAGGAGGCUGGGGACCCAGAUACUCAGUGUGUAGACUUCUGCUUGGUCCCUUGUCGUGGCCCGUUUGUAGGAUGGAGGAUGAACACAGAACAUAAAACACAAACGCACAGAAUACAAAGAAAAACACAGACACACAUACAAACA
Molecule: non-coding RNA, 518 nt
Organism: Microcebus murinus (gray mouse lemur)
Lineage: Eukaryota; Metazoa; Chordata; Mammalia; Primates; Cheirogaleidae
Source: RefSeq, a predicted model, not a curated record